GCAAACUUGGUCAUUUAGAGGAAGUAAAAGUCGUAACAAGGUUUCCGUAGGUGAACCUGCGGAAGGAUCAUUACUGAGUUAAAGAAAAAGGGGGAGGUUUCGUUUGGAACUUUUCCUUUUUUUCCCUUCUCUUCACCCUUUGUUAUUAAUUUCUAAGUUGCUUUGGUAGUUGAGAUUUCGUCUCUCUACCAAGGGACCUUUUUAAACCCUUUGUUAUCCAACAAUUAGGAUGUCUUUUGUCUGAUUCUUUGAAUAAGUACAUAAAACUUUCAACAACGGAUCUCUUGGUUCUGGCAUCGAUGAAGAACGCAGC
Molecule: unclassified non-coding RNA, 313 nt
Filed under: uncultured fungus
Lineage: Eukaryota; Fungi
Description: partial contains small subunit ribosomal RNA, internal transcribed spacer 1, and 5.8S ribosomal RNA
Rfam family: Eukaryotic small subunit ribosomal RNA (bases 1-73)
Source: RNAcentral